RNAcentral lists this ribosomal RNA (495 nucleotides) under uncultured bacterium. RNAcentral describes it as "partial 16S ribosomal RNA". It matches the Rfam family "Bacterial small subunit ribosomal RNA", at positions 28 to 507 of the family's 1533-position model. The record is from RNAcentral.
GAUGAACGCUGGCGGCGUGCCUAAUACAUGCAAGUCGAGCGAACAGAUGAGGAGCUUGCUCCUCUGACGUUAGCGGCGGACGGGUGAGUAACACGUGGAUAACCUACCUAUAAGACUGGGAUAACUUCGGGAAACCGGAGCUAAUACCGGAUAAUAUAUUGAACCGCAUGGUUCAAUAGUGAAAGACGGUUUUGCUGUCACUUAUAGAUGGAUCCGCGCCGCAUUAGCUAGUUGGUAAGGUAACGGCUUACCAAGGCAACGAUGCGUAGCCGACCUGAGAGGGGGAGCGGCCACAGGGAAAGGGAGACAGGGCACAGACCUAAAGGGGGGGCAGGAGGAGGAAAUCUGGCGAAAGGGGCGAAAGCGGCACAGAGCAGCGCCGCGUGAGUGAUGAGGGUUCGGGGAGUGAAAAACUGUGAUAAGGGAAGAAAAAAAAUGUGUAAAUAACUAUGCGUGUUGACGGUACACAAAAACAGAGAGCCGGGUAAAACCGUG